This is a long non-coding RNA of Haliotis rubra (blacklip abalone), 191 nucleotides long. RefSeq lists it as uncharacterized. The record is from RefSeq and is a predicted model, not a curated record. The transcript is spliced from 3 exons. NCBI's taxonomy places the organism in Eukaryota, Metazoa, Mollusca, Gastropoda, Lepetellida, Haliotidae.
GUGUACUGAUAAUACAUAUGAUGUGUUGCCCAAAGGUCUACUUGUGAUAUAUAUGAUGUGUUGCCCAAAGGUCUACUUGUGAUAUAUGUGAUGUGUUGCCCACACGUCUAUUGGUAAUAUAUGUAUGUGUUGCCCAAAGGUCUACUGAUAAUAUAUAUGAUGUGUUGCCCAAAGGUCUACUGGUGAUAUGU